CAGGGUAUAAACUGAACCGCGCGUUCCUGGAUUCCAACACGUCCCCAACCGGCCCAAGUACCUCUUCUUUGCCACUUGCUUUGGACGGCCUCACCUCAUCUCCAAAUGGACCCCAACUGCUCCUGCUCCACUGGCAGCUCCUGCAACUGCGCUGGUUCCUGCACCUGCAAGGCCUGCAGAUGUCCCUCCUGCAAGAAGAGCUGCUGCUCCUGCUGCCCUGUGGGCUGUGCCAAGUGUGCCCAGGGCUGCAUCUGCAAAGGGGCCUCGGACAAGUGCAGCUGUUGUGCCUGAUGUGGGGUAGAGCCUGCUCCCAGGUGUCAGUGGAGGAACGUGGGCCAACCUGCCUUUUUAUACAACUCUGACUUGAUCUCUACAUUCCCUUUCUUAGGAAAUAUGUAAAUGGUAAUAAAGGUUGUUGACACUA
Molecule: long non-coding RNA, 424 nt
Organism: Capra hircus (goat)
Lineage: Eukaryota; Metazoa; Chordata; Mammalia; Artiodactyla; Bovidae
Product: metallothionein-1C
Exons: 3
Source: RefSeq, a predicted model, not a curated record